Molecule: ribosomal RNA, 742 nt
Filed under: uncultured bacterium
Lineage: Bacteria
Description: bacterial SSU rRNA
Rfam family: Bacterial small subunit ribosomal RNA
Source: RNAcentral
AGAGUUUGAUCAUGGCUCAGAAUGAACGCUGGCGGCGUGCUUAACACAUGCAAGUCGCACGAGAACGCUUCAGCUUGCUGGAGCUAGUAAAGUGGCGCACGGGUGAGUAACGCGUGGGUAAUCUACCUCCGAAUUGGGGAUAACACUGCGAAAGCGGUGCUAAUACCGAAUUACAUCUCCGAGACCUCGGUCUCAGGGAUCAAAGGUGGCCUCUACAUGUAAGCUACUGUUUGGAGAUGAGCCCGCGUACCAUUAGCUAGUUGGUAGGGUAAUGGCCUACCAAGGCUGCGAUGGUUAGCUGGUCUGAGAGGAUGAUCAGCCACACUGGAACUGACACACGGUCCAGACUCCUACGGGAGGCAGCAGUGAGGAAUUUUGCGCAAUGGGGGAAACCCUGACGCAGCAACGCCGCGUGAGUGAUGAAGGCUUUCGGGUCGUAAAGCUCUGUCAAGUGGGAAGAAUAUGCCCUGUGAUAAUACCAUGGGGCACUGACGGUACCACUGAAGGAAGCACCGGCUAACUCCGUGCCAGCAGCCGCGGUAAUACGGGGGGUGCAAGCGUUAUUCGGAAUCAUUGGGCGUAAAGGGCGCGUAGGCGGCCCCUUAAGUCAGAUGUGAAAGCCCUCAGCUUAACUGAGGAAGUGCAUUUGAAACUAAGGGGCUUGAGUAUGGGAGAGGGAAGCGGAAUUCCUGGUGUAGCGGUGAAAUGCGUAGAUAUCAGGAGGAACACCGGUGGCGAAGGC